UAUUAUGGUUAUUUGACUUUGGCAUUGUUUUUGACUUUCCUGUUUUCUGGCAUCCCUGACUCCUGGCUUUUCCUUAUCGUUGUGUCUCUUUCUGUAUGCCUUGACCUCGGCUAUUCCUGACAAUUCUUUGGUACGUUAGUCCAGCCAUUCUAAGGUCCGGUAUACGUUACCUAUCAGUCUUCUGUGUUACACAAUUCUACGUGCUGGAUCAUACUGUAAUCCUGACAGCUAGUAUUCCAGUUCUUGGGUAAGAC
Molecule: non-coding RNA, 254 nt
Organism: Pelobates cultripes (western spadefoot toad)
Lineage: Eukaryota; Metazoa; Chordata; Amphibia; Anura; Pelobatidae
Source: the annotation of a GenBank genome assembly